GGGUUGUGAGGUUAAGCGACUAAGCGUACACGGUGGAUGCCCUGGCAGUCAGAGGCGAUGAAGGGCGUGCUAAUCUGCGAUAAGCGCCGGUAAGGUGAUAUGAACCGUUAUAACCGGCGAUACCCGAAUGGGGAAACCCAGUGUGACUCGUCACACUAUCAUUAACUGAAUCCAUAGGUUAAUGAGGCGAACCGGGGGAACUGAAACAUCUAAGUACCCCGAGGAAAAGAAAUCAACCGAGAUUCCCCCAGUAGCGGCGAGCGAACGGGGAGGAGCCCAGAGCCUGAAUCAGCAUGUGUGUUAGUGGAAGCGUCUGGAAAGGCGCGCGAUACAGGGUGACAGCCCCGUACACAAAAGCGCAUGUGCUGUGAGCUCGAUGAGUAGGGCGGGACACGUGGUAUCCUGUCUGAAUAUGGGGGGACCAUCCUCCAAGGCUAAAUACUCCUGACUGACCGAUAGUGAACCAGUACCGUGAGGGAAAGGCGAAAAGAACCCCGGCGAGGGGAGUGAAAAAGAACCUGAAACCGUGUACGUACAAGCAGUGGGAGCACAGGUUUACCUGUGUGACUGCGUACCUUUUGUAUAAUGGGUCAGCGACUUAUAUUCUGUAGCAAGGUUAACCGAAUAGGGGAGCCGGAGGGAAACCGAGUCUUAAUUGGGCGUUAAGUUGCAGGGUAUAGACCCGAAACCCGGUGAUCUAGCCAUGGGCAGGUUGAAGGUUGGGUAACACUAACUGGAGGACCGAACCGACUAAUGUUGAAAAAUUAGCGGAUGACCUGUGGCUGGGGGUGAAAGGCCAAUCAAACCGGGAGAUAGCUGGUUCUCCCCGAAAGCU
This 835-nucleotide ribosomal RNA is filed under the name Salmonella enterica subsp. enterica serovar Newport. Its description in RNAcentral is "partial 23S ribosomal RNA". It matches the Rfam family "Bacterial large subunit ribosomal RNA", at positions 1 to 867 of the family's 2925-position model. Lineage: Bacteria; Pseudomonadati; Pseudomonadota; Gammaproteobacteria; Enterobacterales; Enterobacteriaceae. The record is from RNAcentral. RNAcentral also lists the same sequence under 1 other name.